Molecule: small nucleolar RNA, 69 nt
Organism: Apteryx haastii (Great spotted kiwi)
Lineage: Eukaryota; Metazoa; Chordata; Aves; Apterygiformes; Apterygidae
Gene: SNORD58
Rfam family: Small nucleolar RNA SNORD58
About the family: snoRNA U58 is found in introns 1, 3 and 6 of the ribosomal protein RPL17 gene in humans. U58 is a member of the C/D class of snoRNA which contain C (UGAUGA) and D (CUGA) box motifs.
Source: Ensembl
CUGCGGUGAUGCCUUUCUUAGGACACCUUUGGAUUUAACUGUGAAAAGAAAAACCAAUUUCUGAGCAGC